RNAcentral lists this ribosomal RNA (429 nucleotides) under Chloroflexota bacterium. RNAcentral describes it as "Chloroflexi bacterium partial 16S ribosomal RNA". It matches the Rfam family "Bacterial small subunit ribosomal RNA", at positions 355 to 776 of the family's 1533-position model. The record is from RNAcentral. Lineage: Bacteria; Bacillati; Chloroflexota.
UGGGGAAUAUUGCACAAUGGGCGCAAGCCUGAUGCAGCCAUGCCGCGUGUAUGAAGAAGGCCUUCGGGUUGUAAAGCACUUUCAGCGGGGAGGAAGGCGGUGAGGUUAAUAACCUCACCGAUUGACGUUACCCGCAGAAGAAGCACCGGCUAACUCCGUGCCAGCAGCCGCGGUAAUACGGAGGGUGCAAGCGUUAAUCGGAAUUACUGGGCGUAAAGCGCACGCAGGCGGUCUGUCAAGUCGGAUGUGAAAUCCCCGGGCUCAACCUGGGAACUGCAUUCGAAACUGGCAGGCUAGAGUCUUGUAGAGGGGGGUAGAAUUCCAGGUGUAGCGGUGAAAUGCGUAGAGAUCUGGAGGAAUACCGGUGGCGAAGGCGGCUCUCUGGUCUGUAACUGACGCUGAGGCUCGAAAGCGUGGGGAGCAAACAGG